AACACAAACCCCGGCGCUGAAUGCGUCAAGGAAUUUAMAAUUUGCUCUGGGCGCACCUACAUGGCACCGGAGACGGUUUUCGUGCGGGUUGUGUUCUGACACAUAAUACAGAAUGACUCUCGACAACGGAUAUCUAGGCUCUUGCAUCGAUGAAGAACGUAGCGAAAUGCGAUACUUGGUGUGAAUUGCAGAAUCCCGUGAACCAUCGAGUCUUUGAACGCAAGUUGCGCCCGAUGCCAUUAGGUUGAGGGCACGUCUGCCUGGGCGUCACAUAUCGAAGCCGCUUGCCAAUUUCCUAUAUUGAUAGGGGUAUUGUGCAGGGUGAAUGUUGGCCUCCCGUGAGCUUCAUCGCCUCAUGGUUGGUUGAAAAUCGAGACCUUGGUAGGGUGUGCCAUGAUAGAUGGUGGCUGUGUUACGCACGAGACCAAGUAAGUCAUGUGCUGCUCUAUUGAAUUUAGCCUCUUUUACCCACAUGUGUUUCAAAACGCUCGUGAUGAGACCUCAGGUCAGGCGGGGCUACCCGCUGAAUUUAAGCAUAUCAAUAAGCGGAGGAAAAGAAACUAACAAGGAUUCC
RNAcentral lists this ribosomal RNA (574 nucleotides) under Trifolium montanum. RNAcentral describes it as "eukaryotic LSU rRNA". The stretch from base 115 to 270 matches the Rfam family "5.8S ribosomal RNA". Lineage: Eukaryota; Viridiplantae; Streptophyta; Magnoliopsida; Fabales; Fabaceae. The record is from RNAcentral.